GAUUGCAGGCCACUUUAAGAAGACUAAAACCUUGUGACAGAAGGCCAAAGGGAUGACCCUUUCAACCAUUGCAAGAGAGUUUAUUUGGGGAAGCUCAGCUGACUCAGCCGUUUGACCAGCUGCUGUAUCAAACCACACAGGAGUAUGAUGACGUUGGUGGUCGCCAGAGGGCUUUGAGACAUCUGAAAAACAUGGAAUUCAUUAUCAGAUGGAGAUCAGGGGGCCAGGACACUCUACACGACCUAUGCAGAAGCUGUUGAACCUGAUGCCUCCGCAGCCUGGAGAGCUACGUUUUACUGCUGAAGUCUCUGGGACUCUAAAAUGACUCCGCAGAGAAUUGCAAGAUAAAAUCCAGGAAAAGCAGAAUUUGGUGAAGUGAGAAAAGGGUGAGAUGGAUGAGGAGCACUGCACCACGCUCUGGGGACAGACAUGUUCUUUUGUUUACAGAAAUCCGGUUUUGCAACAAUAGAACUACAAAUCACAGAGCUGAAAAAUGGUUUUGGAAUCCAUUUGGAGAUCUGGAAAUGGAUCCACGUGACCUCUUCAUUUUGGAGUAACCUUGUUACAGAGAUUUCAGAGUGGGAGAGGAGGUUGAGCUUUUGCACAUCUAUUGGAGCAAAUUGCACAAAAUAAAGCACAAUCAAUAUAUACCCUACCUAUGGCUGAAUGGCAUUCAAAGAAGACCUUGAACAGAUUUAGCUUUUAGAAAGUGUCCUAAAUUCACAUAAAG
Cyprinus carpio carpio is the source of this 730-nucleotide long non-coding RNA. Lineage: Eukaryota; Metazoa; Chordata; Actinopteri; Cypriniformes; Cyprinidae. The record is from Ensembl.